CAACUACAACCUCUGUCCCAAAUUUCUUGUCUUAGAUUUGUCUAGAUACAGAUGUAUCUAAUACUAAAAUGUGACUUGAUACAUCCGUAUCUAGACAAAUCUAAGACAAGAAUUUUGGGACGGAGGGAGUAUUUU
Non-coding RNA from Triticum aestivum (bread wheat), 135 nucleotides. NCBI's taxonomy places the organism in Eukaryota, Viridiplantae, Streptophyta, Magnoliopsida, Poales, Poaceae. The record is from Rfam.